GCUUAAGUGGAUCUUGGGAAGAGUACAGAAGUGGCAGUUCCGUUCAAUGAAGGACACUACACUGUUGAUGAAAUAUCAUUACUCCUUUACUCCUUCUCUUCGCAUCUUUCCAGUCAUUUUCAUCACGACUUUUGCUGAUUUUGUGCCUGGAUGGGAUUGAAAGUUGUAUUCCCUCUGCCACUGUGACCAAAACAUUUCUCCAUAAGCUGAUCAAGUUGAUAUGCUGGCAGGGGAAUAAAGGAAAAUAAUUACAUUGAUCUAGAAGCAAUGUUUGCCGCUUGUCGAAUGGAAGUGAACUGGACCGGUGAAAGUGUGGUACAUGUGCAAGGUGGGAUACCUGGAAUGCAUAGGUCUCCUGGUAGAAGAUGUUAGCUGAUUGUAGUUUUGGCAUGACACUGGGCAAGGACAAUGUAGGAGUAACGUCGGGAUAUGUUUCCUGGCAGCAAGGUCUGUCAGACUGUGGGAUGAUCUCCCUGGAGAAAUGACGGAAGUCCUGUAGCUUGAGUCAAUUAAAGGGUAGUCUAGACAAGAACCCACGAGGCUAUUCUCUGAAGGGCCAGCCUUGUAUCUGGGGAGGGAAAUGACACAGGGCAUAGAAAAUGACCUCAUCAUUCUCUGUCACUCUUAGAAUGAAGAGGUGAUGUUGAUAUUGGCUAUCCUACUGCGGAGGAUGCUAGUGAAGGUGUUAAUCAUUGAGAUGAUUUUGUGAUAUGGGUGGGAAGGAAUCAGUGAAUACCACCAUGACCCAAAAGAACCAGGAAGGAGUUCUUAGGAGGUGUCUGCUAGUUACUGUAUUUUGGUGAGGAUUGCAUUAGCUUAGCAUAUGUGAAAAACUCUGGCCUGUGCCCAGUCAGUCAGUAUUUGAGUUCUAAAUGUUUAGAUUUCAUCAUCUUAAACAGAAGAUAGCUAAAGAAAAAAAAAUUCAAUUGCAGCACAUCUAAAAAGGUUGGAGCAUCCUAUGCUAGAGACAGUCAUCCUGGCUCCAUCCACAGCUGCAUUACCCUAGAAUUAAUGCUGUAGUAUAAUCAAUACAAGGAGCACAAGGGUAAUUGCACCUGGCUUUAUUUCUCCCUUAUGACAGACCUUGGCCCUAUGCUCUGCAGCAGCAAUGUCAGCUUGGUAGAUCUGGUUGAUGCAGAAUAAUGGUCCAGGUGGGAAAGUUGGCCCCUGGGGACUUCACUCACUGGAAAAGGGUUGCUGGUGGCAAAGAAGCUCCAUAGGGACCUCUUUGUCCUCUGCUCCUGGCAAGUGGGACGUGAUCAGCACCCCAUCUGCCUGC
RNAcentral lists this long non-coding RNA (1279 nucleotides) under Gallus gallus (chicken). The record is from RNAcentral. Lineage: Eukaryota; Metazoa; Chordata; Aves; Galliformes; Phasianidae.